UGUGUGUGUGUGUGUGUGUGUGUGUGUUGAGCAGUAGCGGCAGUGAGUGUGUGCACGUUGCUGUGGGAGGUGGUGUGUGUACGUAGCUGGAGUGUGUUUAUAUCUUCGUGCUGACACACACACACACACACACACACACACACACACACAGUCAGGCACAAGUGUGUUAUGGGAAGACAGUGAAAAUUAAGUAGGACAAACAGCAAGAGAAGGAAACACACACACACACA
Molecule: long non-coding RNA, 230 nt
Organism: Portunus trituberculatus (swimming crab)
Lineage: Eukaryota; Metazoa; Arthropoda; Malacostraca; Decapoda; Portunidae
Exons: 2
Source: RefSeq, a predicted model, not a curated record